This 1343-nucleotide ribosomal RNA is filed under the name uncultured bacterium. RNAcentral's name for it is "16S ribosomal RNA". It matches the Rfam family "Bacterial small subunit ribosomal RNA", at positions 28 to 1378 of the family's 1533-position model. The record is from RNAcentral.
GACGAACGCUGGCGGCGUGCUUAACACAUGCAAGUCGAACGGAAAGGCCCUGCUUUUGUGGGGUGCUCGAGUGGCGAACGGGUGAGUAACACGUGAGUAACCUGCCCUUGACUUUGGGAUAACUUCAGGAAACUGGGGCUAAUACCGGAUAGGAGCUCCUGCUGCAUGGUGGGGGUUGGAAAGUUUCGGCGGUUGGGGAUGGACUCGCGGCUUAUCAGCUUGUUGGUGGGGUAGUGGCUUACCAAGGCUUUGACGGGUAGCCGGCCUGAGAGGGUGACCGGCCACAUUGGGACUGAGAUACGGCCCAGACUCCUACGGGAGGCAGCAGUGGGGAAUAUUGCACAAUGGGCGGAAGCCUGAUGCAGCAACGCCGCGUGCGGGAUGACGGCCUUCGGGUUGUAAACCGCUUUCGCCUGUGACGAAGCGUGAGUGACGGUAAUGGGUAAAGAAGCACCGGCUAACUACGUGCCAGCAGCCGCGGUGAUAUGUAGGGUGCGAGCGUUGUCCGGAUUUAUUGGGCGUAAAGGGCUCGUAGGUGGUUGAUCGCGUCGGAAGUGUAAUCUUGGGGCUUAACCCUGAGCGUGCUUUCGAUACGGGUUGACUUGAGGAAGGUAGGGGAGAAUGGAAUUCCUGGUGGAGCGGUGGAAUGCGCAGAUAUCAGGAGGAACACCAGUGGCGAAGGCGGUUCUCUGGGCCUUUCCUGACGCUGAGGAGCGAAAGCGUGGGGAGCGAACAGGCUUAGAUACCCUGGUAGUCCACGCUGUAAACGGUGGGUACUAGGUGUGGGGUCCAUUCCACGGGUUCCGUGCCGUAGCUAACGCUUUAAGUACCCCGCCUGGGGAGUACGGCCGCAAGGCUAAAACUCAAAGGAAUUGACGGGGCCCCGCACAAGCGGCGGAGCAUGCGGAUUAAUUCGAUGCAACGCGUAGAACCUUACCUGGGUUUGACAUGGAUCGGGAGUGCUCAGAGAUGGGUGUGCCUCUUUUGGGGUCGGUUCACAGGUGGUGCAUGGCUGUCGUCAGCUCGUGUCGUGAGAUGUUGGGUUAAGUCCCGCAACGAGCGCAACCCUUGUUCACUGUUGCCAGCACGUUAUGGUGGGGACUCAGUGGAGACCGCCGGGGUCAACUCGGAGGAAGGUGGGGAUGACGUCAAGCCAUCAUGCCCCUUAUGUCCAGGGCUUCACGCAUGCUACAAUGGCUGGUACAGAGAGUGGCGAGCCUGUGAGGGUGAGCGAAUCUCGGAAAGCCGGUCUCAGUUCGGAUUGGGGUCUGCAACUCGACCUCAUGAAGUCGGAGUCGCUAGUAAUCGCAGAUCAGCAACGCUGCGGUGAAUACGUUCCCGGG